GUGUUCGGAAGUUAGUAAUAUAUUAACGAAGCAAAUUGGUCGGGUCAAAACCCUAGGAGGUAUCGGAUUCGCAUCAUUGGUCGCGAAUGCAGAGCAGACUCUGCUGUCGCUUAUCUGGAAGCUCUCUCCGAAUCUGAUUCAACUACCUUGAAAUUCGAGUUGCGAGAAUGGCUGGUCAGAGAAGUAACUAUGGUAAACGAUCCCACUCCCAGUCUGACUACUCUGAAAGUGGGGGUGGGGGAAACAAAAGAAGAAAUUCUGGAGGUGAUAAAGAGUCAUUCUCGAUUGGGCCCGAUGAUACUGUUUACCGUUAUCUCUGCCCUGGAAAGAAAAUUGGAAGCAUCAUUGGGAGAGGAGGGGAGAUUGUCAAACAGCUAAGAUCUGAUACAAGAUCAAGGAUAAGAAUUGGUGAAUCUGUGCCAGGAUGUGAAGAACGUGUUGUCACUAUUUACAGUAACAGUGAAGAAACCAAUGAUCUUGACGAUGUGGACGACCGUGUCUGUCCUGCUCAAGAUGCCCUUUUCAAGAUUCAUGAUAGAAUUGUUGCUGAUGAUACUGCACUAGAGGAGGACUCCGAAGACAUCCCACAAGUUACUGUUCGUCUGCUCGUGCCUUCAGAUCAGAUUGGGUGUAUCAUUGGAAAGGGUGGACAGAUUGUUCAGAAUAUUCGUAGUGAAUCUGGGGCUCAAAUUCGCAUAGUAAAGGAUGACCACCUUCCAACCUGUGCAUUGAGUUCAGACGAACUUGUACAGAUAUCUGGUAAUUCUUCUCUAGUGAAGAAGGCUCUUUAUCAGAUUUCUUCUCGACUUCAUGAUAAUCCCUCUCGUUCUCAACACCUAAUCACUUCAUCCGCACCUAAUGUCUACCCUUCUGGUAGUUCACUCCUUGGUUCAACUGCUGGAGCACCAAUCAUGGGAUUAACUCCACUUGUAGGGCCCUAUGGGGCAUAUAAGGGUGAGGCUGCAGAUUGGCCGCGGUCUAUUUACUCUGCUCCGAGAAAUGAUGCAUCUUCAAAGGAAUUCUCACUGCGUUUGGUUUGCCCAACUGCUAAUAUUGGAGGUGUCAUUGGGAAGGGCGGCAUGAUAAUCAACCAAAUAAGGCAAGAAUCUGGAGCUGUUAUUAAAGUUGAUAGUUCAGCUGCCGAGGGAGAUGAUUGUGUGAUUUCUAUCUCUGCAAAAGAGAUCUUUGAAGAUACCUUUUCUCCGGCAGUCGAUGCAGCUCUGCGCUUGCAGCCUAGGUGUAGUGAGAAAGUUGAAAGAGAUUCUGGUCUUGUUUCAUUUACCACCAGGUUACUUGUUCCUACUUCUCGAAUUGGCUGCCUUAUUGGCAAAGGAGGUUCCAUCAUUUCGGAGAUGAGAAAGGUCACCAAGGCCAAUAUCCGUAUAUUAUCAAAAGAAAAUCUGCCUAAGGUUGCCUCUGAUGAUGAUGAGAUGGUGCAGAUCUCAGGAGACCUUGAUGUUGCCAAGGAUGCUCUUAUUCAAGUAACUUCCCGACUGAGGGCUAAUCUUUUUGAAAAGGAGGGUGCAAUGCCUGCAUUCCUACCUGUUCUUCCAUAUCUUCCGAUGUCAAGUGAUAAUUCGGAGAGCCUGAAAUAUGAAAGUAGAGAUUCAAAGAACCGUGGGCGUGGUGGGUAUUCAUAUUCUGGUGGAUAUGGUGGUUCUUCCGAUUUGCCUCCUUUAGAUGCCUAUGGUAGUUAUGGUAAUGUUCAGAGUGGCAGUGGUAGUUCUGCAUAUGGUGCUUACGGAAGCCAUUCAUCUGGGCGCUCUUCUGGUUCUGGGUUAUCUGGACGUAAUCCUCCUUCACGUGGAAGAAAUUAUGACUACUAGCGGCGUUUAUUAAUUACAGUAUGAUUCUCAAGAUGUUAAUCCCAGAAGUGGUAAAGUGUGCUGUUGGCUGAGCAUCCUGCUUAUAAAAUGCAGAUUUUGGGCAGAUCAGGAUCAGGAGUAAAAUAUCUAUGGUGUGGAUGACGGGCAACGGUAGUUCAAAACUGUGUAUUGGGUAUGUUGGUAGGCUUUUCCAUGCAGUAUAUGUUUUUAUAUAUGCGGUUUCAGUUAAUCUGGUUCCUGAAUAGUAAUAUCUACGGAAUGAUUUUGUUGAACAGAUUGUGGCUGGAUGUGAUGGCAAUAGGUAAUUGUGUAGAUUUAUAUCACUUGUCUUUCACAAUUUUUUAUUUUAGCAAUUUACUAACCCUGUCUGCUCUAGCUUUUAUGCAUGCAAAUCCAUAGUAUUCAUGGUGUAAGUGUGCCAUUCUUUCUGGGUGUGCUGACCAGUUGAUGUUUCAUGCUUCUAAAUUAUAUGCAUGCAUCAUUUUGUUGAAAUAGGAGUUAAGAAUCUGGGUUCUACCUUGAUGUUCAGAGCUAGUGUAUUACAUAGAUGAAUUCUGAAGGAAUAGUGCUUAAACCGAACUUAGUAUCUCUGUUCACUGAAGAUGAGUUUGCUUAUUCUGUGAUGUACAAGUCUUUUUGAAAUUAUUUGGCAUGUUAAAGCUCCUCAAGGCACAAAAUUUUUAUAAAUGACCGUCGGUCUGCUGCACUGGAUUUUUAGCUCAUAGACUUGAUUAGCUUAGGAUCAGAUUUUUCUUUCUAUUGUUCUAGCAGUCUGAUUAGGAUCUAAUCCUCCUUGAGCAUGAUUGCUAUGGUGAUUAAAUAAGAUUAUUUUUGUAAUUUACACCAUAAAAAUAAUUUAAUCAGAUAUUGUAAACAUACUCUUUGCUUACUAUAUAGUCUGUAAGUGAUUUCUUGCAUGCAUGUUAUAUAUACUAUGCUCAUAUGCUUGCUGUUUAUUUGAUAUGUUACUGGUUCAUAAUUUUAGUUUUUACUAAAUGUAAGUGGACAUGUAGUGUGUCCUUUUGGUUUUGUAUCUAGUUAUAUUGACAGGAAAUAUAAGACGAGUUGGUCUAUAAAACGAGAUGCUACAUCGGUUGGAGUACAGUACACAUCCGAGGACAUGCUCUUUCCGAUGACAUGAUGUGUGCUGGGAUUAUUUUUGUCUUCAUUUUUUUCUUAUGCUGGUAUAUGUGCACAGAAGUUACAUCUGAUUAUCAGACAUUAGAUUUGCUCAUGUAUAAAAUAGGGAUCAACUGUGUGUAAAUAUAUGUGUUUAUAUAUAUUAUUCAUGUACAGUAUUAUUGUCUUUGGA
RNA transcript from Andrographis paniculata, 3138 nucleotides. It is a transcript of the gene named KH domain-containing protein At4g18375, with no coding region annotated. The transcript is spliced from 9 exons. Lineage: Eukaryota; Viridiplantae; Streptophyta; Magnoliopsida; Lamiales; Acanthaceae. The record is from RefSeq and is a predicted model, not a curated record.